GAGACCUAAAGCUUGGUCUAUGUGCUUCUGCCACUCACGUCUGAGCCAUAGAAAAAUGUUACAACUUUACAAAGUGACUGUGAAUUUAAGUUAAACCCUCUGACAACAAAUUGGAGGACACACAAGCCUAAAAGAUGAACGAUACGGUGUUUAUACUUCUCCCUAGGAAGAGCCAUAGGCCUUGGGCCCCAUCAAGGGUCUCUCCUGGAGUUUCAGUCAAGAAGUCAGCUUGACUGGCUCUGGAAUAUUGGCUUCCACACUGGCUCCUUGCAUGGCUGGCAGGCUGAUGCUGGCUACUGAUGGCAGGCCUCAGUUUCUCUCUACACAACCCAUGGCUGCUUGGAUGUCUUCCCAUGCAACUGGCUUCCUCCAGAGCAGAUUUCAGAAGACAUGUGGAGAUAUCCAAUUUACUACAAAGAGUAAAAGGAACUGUACAGGUCUACAGAACUGACACUCGAGAUUAGUGAUGCCAUUUCCUGUAUCAAAAAUUCAAAAUCAUGAAAGUCACGAUGACUCAUGACAGAGCAGGACAUUGUGACGUGGCUCAUCUGGUACUAACAAGUAAAAAACAGGUCUCAAUUUUAGGAAAAACGUAAUUCAUUCUACAACUGACUUGGCUUGGCCAUUCCUAUCAUAAGAUGUGAAAGAAGAGCUGGAAAGCACAUCUGGUUACCUAUUCUAAUGGGUGCAGAAAUGGAUCUAACAGGAAGGGGAAGCCAUAUAAUACUCCCCAGGAAUGUUUAAAAGAGGAUUCUUCAGGCUUUCAUGGAAAACAGGAGUUUUAAGGGGACAUCCUAG
Homo sapiens (human) is the source of this 798-nucleotide long non-coding RNA. The record is from Ensembl. NCBI's taxonomy places the organism in Eukaryota, Metazoa, Chordata, Mammalia, Primates, Hominidae.